ACGUUGAAGUACACGGCAGCGAUAUGUCGCAAAAUAUACAAAAGCGUCCGUUCUGCAACAGCAUCGUCGGCUGCCUCAGCUCAAGAAGGAAGCGGUCACUGGCAUCUCUCAGACGGUCGGCGAAUGCGAUGUAAACAGGCACCGCUCGCACCGCCGCGCGCGCGCCAUUAAUCACAGAACGAAUGCGAUUUGCAGUCUCGAAAAACUUGUUACGAGGACGUACUUCACGCACAAGAAGUAAUUUCCUAUCUAACCGGAUGGCGAUGUGGGAACUAACAUCCAGGCUUGAUGCUACCUACGCCAAGAUGCCGGUGAUCAGAGAGGGAGGAUCAAACGACGCCGCACUUACUCCCAUGCGAUAUCACACGCGAUAAACCGUACAGCACAAGGUCAGCACAAGGUCAGCACAAGGUCAGCACAAGGUCAGCACAAGGCCAGCAUAAGGUCAGCAUAAGAUCAGCACAAGGUCAGCAUAAGGUCAGCACGUUAGCAGACGACUCUCUCUCUAUCUUCUAACCACGUUCAUCAUCACCGUGCCGCGGCCAUCGUCCCUCUCACUCACGCUUAGCUCGCCCGCGGAGAGACACCUAUAGACACCUAUAGACAGUUAUAUACAGCUGUAGACACAUAUAGACACCUAUAGACAGGUAUAUACAACUGUAGACACCUAUAGACAGUUAUAUACAGCUGUAGACACCUAUAGACACCUAUAGACAGGUAUAUACAACUGUAGACACAUAUAGACAGUUAUAUACCGCUGUAGACACCCAUAGACAGUUAUAUACAGCUGUAGACACAUAUAGACACCUAUAGACAGGUAUAUACAACUGUAGACACCUAUAAACAGUUAUACACAACUGUAGACACCAGGUCCUAUAGACAGUUAUAUACAGCUGUAUACACCUAUAGACACCUAUAGACAGUUGUAUACAAGUAUAGACAGCUAUAAACGUCUAUAGACGUCUAUAUACAUCUCUAGAGACCUAUAGACAUCUAUAGACACCUAUAGACACCUAUAGAUAGUUAUAUACAGCUAUAGACAGUUAUAAACGUCUAUAGACAUCUAUAGAUACCUAUAGAAAGCUAUACAAGCGAUAUACAGCUAUGGAUAGCUAUACUCUAUAGACUCUAUAUAGCAAUCUAUAGGCAACUAUAGCUAGCUAUAGAUAUGAUUUUUGUAAUAAAUUUAGUUUACGUUCAUCGUUCGACUUCGCGCGCGGUAUUGCGAACGUCGGACGUCUUUCCCGGUGCGUCACUUCCUCUGCUUCCCCUACCUUCCCCCGGCGUACAGCGUCGCGGGAAGAUACCAGAAGCUAACGAGAAUGCACGCAGCAGCAAGAGACAACGUACGAAACGUCAAUGACCAGUAACUUCCUCCCCCCCCCCCUCCCUCCCCGCGUAAUUUCCCCCUCUCGAGCAUGCUUUCGCAAACACGUCACGCCUCGUGUGAAUCGCUAAUACUAUAUACGGAUUUUGUUGACGCUCGUGCGGACGGAAAAGAAGAUAAAAUUGUGUACGAUGUUAGAACAAGCUACGCCAAUCUCGCGAGAGAAUUGCGCUAUUUAUGAUUGAUUAUGAAGAGUGUUUAGUCGUUGUUGGGAAAUCUUACGCGAGGAAAGACAGGAAGGCAACCGUGUCGACUAAUUGGAUAGUUACGUGACCACGUGACAGUGUUAAAAAAAGCAUCGUGCUGUUUUAUUAUUAACUAGACAGCUUUCAUGUUUACUUAUACAUAUCAGUUAUUGAGUAAUCGUUAGUUUUCUUAUAGUUCAUUGAUCACGCAGCCUUCAGGAUUUGUUUGAACAGGUAUCGUUCUUGCUCACCAUAUAAAAACUUGCGUAUUCGCACAUGACCUAUCCGAUGGACGGACACAAGUUGGGGUUGACAUUUUCGAAUAUGUUCACUUUUAAUUGCUGCAAUAUUCUGUAAUAUUUUGUGGUCAAUCGAGAUCGUUUUCUUAGAGUUAGAUAAUAUUCAUAAUGCAUAUCAUCUAAUUACGGAUGUUAACAGGCAGUCCGUUUCGAUAUAUUCGAGAUUGACUACAUAGACUAUACUCGCAAUUAUAUACAUAAAUAUAUACGUUUCGUACAUGGGUUAUCUACUGCACAGUGCUAUUUCGAAUAGCGUGAGGCUACAUUAGGCCCCACGGCUGCUAUUCGUUUGCUUUGUUGUAUUUCUAUGCACGUAUUCUUUGGGGAUUCAAUAUAGCACCGAAAACGCGGUCAUAUUCUCGCUAUCGUUAACUCUUUGACAUCGCCGUCAUUACACGGACGACGUUUCAUCAAAAAUUAUCCGACAGACAACUUGUGAAAUGCGCAAGUAAUGAUGUAGUAGUAAGGUACGUGUGGUAAGCCGUAAUGAAAAGGUCAGCGUUUUGGCACAGUAAUGUACAAACGACCGUUCUGUAAAAAUAAAGAUGGCGGUGAAUAAAGGAUUUUUUUUCGAUAA
This 2448-nucleotide long non-coding RNA is filed under the name Priapulus caudatus. Its description in RNAcentral is "uncharacterized LOC106810543". Lineage: Eukaryota; Metazoa; Priapulida; Priapulimorpha; Priapulimorphida; Priapulidae. The record is from RNAcentral.